UACGAAGGGGGCUAGCGUUGCUCGGAAUGACUGGGCGUAAAGGGCGCGUAGGCGGAUGGCACAGUCAGACGUGAAAUUCCCGGGCUCAACCUGGGGGCUGCGUUUGAUACGUGCGGGCUUGAGUUCGGAAGAGGGUCGUGGAAUUCCCAGUGUAGAGGUGAAAUUCGUAGAUAUUGGGAAGAACACCGGUGGCGAAGGCGGCGACCUGGUCCGAUACUGACGCUGAGGCGCGAAAGCGUGGGGAGCAAACAGG
Molecule: ribosomal RNA, 253 nt
Filed under: uncultured bacterium
Lineage: Bacteria
Description: partial 16S ribosomal RNA
Rfam family: Bacterial small subunit ribosomal RNA
Source: RNAcentral